RNAcentral lists this long non-coding RNA (483 nucleotides) under Chrysemys picta bellii (western painted turtle). RNAcentral describes it as "lncRNA (ENSCPBG00000023739.1)". The record is from RNAcentral. Lineage: Eukaryota; Metazoa; Chordata; Testudines; Emydidae.
UCAUCAGCUUUCAAUUCUUGUAACCUCAGGAACUCCUCCAUGUCUUUCUUUAUCUUGCAGGCAUGUGGAGACACCUUGGCAGAGUGUGCACAGGUAAUGGGAUGGAACCAGCCCAGGAACUUGUUCAGACAAAUGACACUGAGUGACCAUCUUCAGGUCUUGCAAGAGAUGUGCAAAUUUCUGGUGAGGAAAUGCAGGAGAAUGGUGGGGGACUUCUUACUUAGGAGCAUAGCCUACCUAAAGAACCCUCAGCCCCUUUUACGAGAGGCAGCAGCCAGGUUUAUAGAGUUCACAGUCAAGAAUUUGAACUUAAUUCAAGUUGACAGAGAUGAUGUGAUGCUACUGCUCAAUGGUAAGGAAUUGCUUGUGAUCCAGGUUCUUUUGCAAUCUAUAAUGUGCCUUCAUUUAUGUUAUCAGAUGGCCUCUGCCUCCCCCCACCCACCUGUCCUCUGGGCAGUAAUUCAGGAGGAGUUUAUAGAAAUG